UACGGAAGGGGCAAGCGUUGUUCGGAAUCAUUGGGCGUAAAGGGCGCGUAGGCGGUCGCGUGUGUCUGCUGUGAAAGCACACGGCUCAACCGUGUGAAGUCGGUAGAAACUGCGGGACUUGAGGCUGGGAGAGGUUGGUGGAAUUCCCUGUGUAGCGGUGAAAUGCGUAGAUAUAGGGGAGAACACUCGUGGCGAAGGCGGCCAG
This 205-nucleotide ribosomal RNA is filed under the name uncultured bacterium. RNAcentral's name for it is "partial 16S ribosomal RNA". It matches the Rfam family "Bacterial small subunit ribosomal RNA", at positions 524 to 728 of the family's 1533-position model. The record is from RNAcentral.